AACAUUUGGCGGUGUCUGCUUAACUUUGUGUGCUUUAUUUAUUAAUGUAUUUGAAUUGAGCCCUCAUACUAUGUUGGAUUUUUACAGGAAGCUGUACGGAGAUUGCACAAUGGGGAAAACAACAUACACAAAUAUGACCCACAGACAAGUCUAUCCUCCCCCCACAACCUCGAGGUCACAACCUAUCUUUUUAAUGGCAUCUCCAUGGCUGUACCGGACGUAGAUCCUGCUGUUGUUAAAGCAUCCUGCAAGACGUAUUUUGAAACUGUUUGAAGGGGUUACAGGAUGGCUCAAGAUGAGAACAAAGACAAGAUGGAGGACAGCAGGAUCAUUGCGCGCAUGAGACAAAGAAAAAGAAGACUGCUGAGCAGCAGGAAUGGCGUUCUCCAGACAGAGGAAGAGGCAGCUAUCUGGAAGACUGCAACAGUUGACCACAUGUCUGAAGAGGAGGAUGCCAUCUUGGAUGGAAAGUUGGUGUGGGUUGUUCGG
Long non-coding RNA from Rhinichthys klamathensis goyatoka, 489 nucleotides. RefSeq lists it as uncharacterized. Lineage: Eukaryota; Metazoa; Chordata; Actinopteri; Cypriniformes; Leuciscidae. The transcript has 4 exons. The record is from RefSeq and is a predicted model, not a curated record.